GUUUUUUUCCAUAUGAAACUAUUUAAUUCUUGUGUUAGCCCAAUAUUACUGUAUUGUAGUGAGAUAUGGUCGCUAAAUAUUGUGAAGAACAACAAAACUCUUGAAUCUCAAUAUUUAUCUAUGGAAUCAGUAAAACUCCAAAUCAAAUUUGCGAAAGGUCUUCUAAAUGUUAAUUCAAAGGCAGUAAAUACAGCUGUAUUAGCUGAAUUGGGAAUGUACCCUAUUGGUAUACAGGCCCUUAAGUCUUCUGUAGGAUUUUGGUUAUAUAUUUAAAGUCAAAUGAAAAUGAGUCAUUAUUAUAUAAUGUUUAUAAAGCUAACAAGCAGUUAAAUGAUGGAUUUGCUUCAAAAGUUAAA
This 356-nucleotide long non-coding RNA is filed under the name Mytilus galloprovincialis (Mediterranean mussel). The record is from RNAcentral. Lineage: Eukaryota; Metazoa; Mollusca; Bivalvia; Mytilida; Mytilidae.